Cynocephalus volans (Philippine flying lemur) is the source of this 2309-nucleotide long non-coding RNA. RefSeq lists it as uncharacterized. The transcript is spliced from 4 exons. The record is from RefSeq and is a predicted model, not a curated record. Lineage: Eukaryota; Metazoa; Chordata; Mammalia; Dermoptera; Cynocephalidae.
CAUUAUCCAGGUUAAGCAAAUGAUCACCGUCUGUUUUGAUGUCUCUGGGUCCCUCCUGAAUCAUCCGUUUCCUGCCCCUUCCAAGUAGGAGACAUCAACCAGAAGACAGAAGAUACCAACUGCCUGCCCAGUCGACUGAGGGUUGGGGUUGAUGUAGAUAAAUAUAUCGGGGAGACAGGAUGUUUUCAAGUGUGAUGGACAGCUGCUUCCUGCUUUGAGGGAUCAUAUUGGAUAUCGGCUUGCUAUACGACCUUAGUUAUUCCUUAAGGGCUAGCAAUAAAGGGCAAACAAGGCAACCAUUUGGAAACUAAUGAUUUUCAUCUGCAGGAGAGCCUCUUCCCUGAAGCUAAAAACAGCUCCAACCUGUAAAGAGCAUGUGUGUCAUUGCUCCUGCCCUUAUAAGAAAAAAGAAGUUGAACACAGUGAAGAUCAAUGACUUAGGCCCAUUAAAGCGUGGAAGUCCCAUAGUAAACUGCCACUCUGAAAUUAGAGAGGUAGGUAAAUCCAGAAAGUCACAACUGAGAACUGCUUGACUGGAGCAAAAACCACUGGAGCAAUAAGCUGGUAAAAAGCACUUCAAUGGUGAUUUUAAAGAACACCUGACAGCUAAGUGUGCACUAGCUUGAAAGUAAGAAAUUCCUGGAGGCCAAAGUCUUAGAUGGGCCCCUGGACACUAACAGAUCUUACCUCCAGAAACCCAUCAUUUUCUCACAGUGAAAAGGCAAGAAAUCCCUUAUGGCAGAGGGAAGGGAAAAAGUAACAACUGUGAAAUAUGCCCAGAGCAUUCUUCCUAAUAAAGAUCUAAUUUUCAGGAGCAAAGACUUUACUAGAACCUUAUAUCCCACUUGUAGAAAAGAUAUUCCUCUGACACUGGUACCCUCUACUCUACGUAUCUCACCUGCCAGUUGGAGGGAAAGCUAAGAAACACUUGCAAAGUUCACAGUCCAAAGACAUAGGCCCACUAAAAUACCGAGACUUAAUGAUGAGAUUAUAGAAUUUUCCCUCCUCCUCCAUAUCCUAUUAUCACACUAACAGGCCUCCAGUAUAAUAGUGAAUUACAGGAACUGAUGUUACCAAGAUGGUGGAAUAGACAACCCUCCUGUCCACCCCACCACACACACUCAAAAGGUGAACUUGUAGCUAUUAAAACAUAAAAGCUGUCAUCUUGAAAUCAUUGGAACUUGAGGUAAAAGGAAGAGACCUGCUGUGUCUGUGAAGGAGUGGAAAGUCACAGUGAGCAGAAGGGAUCAUUCUAACUAGACCCAGCCUCAGAUGCUCAAGCAUGGCACAGCACAUAGAGCAGCGACCACUCACAGAGCAUCUGCCUGGACACAGUAAAGCUGCAGUAGUGCCCUUCGUGUGAAGCUACUUGGAGUCUGCAGAGGAGAGGGGUGCCAUGACUGCAUGAUCCCAUUUCCCAGGCCAGCAAAGUUGCUCUCAAGUUUUCUCUCUGCACCCACAUAAGAAGGAGGGGUCAUUGUUGAGGACAGGACACAAUCACCCAGAGGUCGGUAAGUCUUUUUGGGGAACUCAUGUCAGGCUUGCCCCUUAGGAAAUGUUUGCAGUUUUGGGAGGUGUGGGGGCUGAUCCAACAGGAGUGCAUCAGCGAGCAGGGCAGGUAGUUGAUUUGCCUUCUAAUCAGCAUAGGCACCCCACAAUGGAGACCAGUCAGAGUGAUAGAACUCCAGGGGGCACAGUUUGUGGAAAGACUUACUCCCAGAAUUUGCACAUGACCUAAAAGUGACUAAAAGGAUGAUAAUUACAACCCAGUCCACACAAAAAGAUAUUUUCACUCGGAGAAACAACAGCAAGGCAGCAAUUUAGCUCAGGCAAAGAGUUCAACUUCCAGUUCCCACAGGAAGUUUUCCACAAUCAGAAAACUAACUACAGGAUGGCAAAUUAGUUUCAGUGCAGGGUUUGAGUGAUGGUAGCCAUUAAUCCACCAUAGAAUGGGAAAACAAACAAACAAGCAAGGAAAAACACAGACCAGAGGCAAAGUUCUGAUAUUGAGCAGUAAGAUCUGACAUCACCAAAAAACACCUGUAAAGCCUGAGAGAGGUAGCCAUCUCAUCAAAUGCAAAGGCAUAAAUGUAAAGACAUAAAGACUAAGAAAGAACAGCAAAAUAUGACACCACCAUAGGAAAACAACAAAGCACCAGAAAUGGACUCAGAACAGUGGAUUAAUAAAAUGCCUAACAGAGAAUUCACAAUAAUCUUCUUAAAUAUGUUCAGGGAGAUGAAAUAAAAUACAAAUUGAAAAUGAAAUGAUAUUUGGAGAACAGUCCAGGAACAGAGAAACUUGACACAGA